Molecule: transfer RNA, 98 nt
Rfam family: tRNA
About the family: Transfer RNA (tRNA) molecules are approximately 80 nucleotides in length. Their secondary structure includes four short double-helical elements and three loops (D, anti-codon, and T loops). Further hydrogen bonds mediate the characteristic L-shaped molecular structure. tRNAs have two regions of fundamental functional importance: the anti-codon, which is responsible for specific mRNA codon recognition, and the 3' end, to which the tRNAs corresponding amino acid is attached (by aminoacyl-tRNA synthetases). tRNAs cope with the degeneracy of the genetic code in two manners: having more than one tRNA (with a specific anti-codon) for a particular amino acid; and 'wobble' base-pairing, i.e. permitting non-standard base-pairing at the 3rd anti-codon position.
GCUGGGAUAGCCAAGACGUUUGUGGAACUGGUACGGCGCUAGCCUGCUAAGCUAGUGGGCUUUCGCCCUCCGGGGUUCGAAUCCCCGUCCCAGCGCCA